CACGUAGGGUGCGAGCGUUGUCCGGAAUUAUUGGGCGUAAAGAGCUCGUAGGUGGUUUGUCGCGUUGUUCGUGAAAACUCACAGCUUAACUGUGGGCGUGCGGGCGAUACGGGCAGACUGGAGUACUGCAGGGGAGACUGGAAUUCCUGGUGUAGCGGUGGAAUGCGCAGAUAUCAGGAGGAACACCGGUGGCGAAGGCGGGUCUCUGGGCAGUAACUGACGCUGAGGAGCGAAAGCGUGGGGAGCAAACAGG
This 253-nucleotide ribosomal RNA is filed under the name uncultured bacterium. RNAcentral describes it as "partial 16S ribosomal RNA". It matches the Rfam family "Bacterial small subunit ribosomal RNA", at positions 524 to 776 of the family's 1533-position model. The record is from RNAcentral.